GACGGCAGCGCGGGGCAACCGUGGCGGCGAAGUGGCGAACGGGUGAGUAAUGCAUCGGAACGUUAUCCUGUAAUGGGGGAUAACGUAGCGAAAGUUACGCUAAUACCGCAUACGCUCGAGAGAGGAAAGUGGGGGAUCGCAAGACCUCACGUUAUAGGAGCGGCCGAUGUCCGAUUAGCUAGUUGGUGGGGUAAAGGCCUACCAAGGCGACGAUCGGUAGCUGGUCUGAGAGGAUGAUCAGCCACACUGGGACUGAGACACGGCCCAGACUCCUACGGGAGGCAGCAGUGGGGAAUUUUGGACAAUGGGCGAAAGCCUGAUCCAGCCAUGCCGCGUGCGGGAAGAAGGCCUUCGGGUUGUAAACCGCUUUAGUCCGGGAAAAAGGGGUGCGAGGAUAAUACCCUUGUGCUUUGAUGGUACUGGAAGAAUAAGCACCGGCUAACUACGUG
RNAcentral lists this ribosomal RNA (449 nucleotides) under uncultured bacterium. RNAcentral's name for it is "bacterial SSU rRNA". It matches the Rfam family "Bacterial small subunit ribosomal RNA", at positions 65 to 507 of the family's 1533-position model. The record is from RNAcentral.